RNAcentral lists this long non-coding RNA (1864 nucleotides) under Citrus sinensis (sweet orange). Its description in RNAcentral is "long non-coding RNA (CSIN_LNC003231)". The record is from RNAcentral. Lineage: Eukaryota; Viridiplantae; Streptophyta; Magnoliopsida; Sapindales; Rutaceae.
UUCUGCUUUGCACCUUGAAAAUAAGAGGCUCAUUUUCAGCUUUAGCUUAUCUUAUUUGUGAGUUCAAGUUUCAAGCCUCCGCGGUGAUUGCAAAUCAAAUGGUUGAAUUACUAAGUCUAAUUCGGCGCCGCAUGUAUUUUUAAUCAUAUGCACAUUUUUUUUGUAUGACUGAUUUAUUAAUUUGGGUCUUCUGUUAGAUGAUUUAUUAUUGGUGGGAUAAUCCUUCGGUUUUUAUUUGAAAAAACCCAUUUGAGAAUGCUGGAGUCUUUCAAUUUUAUAUAUCGGUUUGAGUGACCGAUCUUGUAAUAUGUCUUCUCUUCAUUUUGUUAUUAUACUCUACGUAAUUACUAUAUGCUUUAAUUAUAAAACAUAAGUUAGAUGUUUUGUCUACAAUGGACCAAAAAUUUACCACCAAAUAAUUAAAAGAAAAUCUUCACCCACAUUGCAAAUGAAUCCAAAAUGAAUUUAACAAUUAAUAAGAACUUCCAGUAGUACUCUUGCUAAUUAUUUUUACAGUUAAAAAGCAGUUAAUCGUAUGUGAACUCGAUUGAGAAGAUAACGAGUGUGAGCAACUGACUGACGCAAUCUCAACUAAGAUCCCUUUGCAGCAUAUGCAGUCACCUUCACAUUACUGUAGAUGACAUCAGAAACAAAGUGGCAAGCACCACCUACUGGGGAAUAUAUUUUGACAAAUGCGCAGCAGCAAGGUAUCGUUUAAUUUAUAAACAUAACUAAUUAAUUAACUAAUUCAUAGGUUAUUAUCUAACAAAAGUUCUGUGUGUUCAAACUGUACUUCGAGUACAAGACAAGUCACAAAGUUACAACUUGAGUCUUUUUUUUUUUUAAUUUUUUUAUCCCUCUCUUUUACUUCAUUGGUAUUUUGCUGUGAAAAAGCACAGAAGAUUACUGCCUCACAAUAUUUUCCGGGGGGGUUGAAUUGACUCGUCAAGAAAUUAAUAAAAUUAAAUUACAAGAAAGUCUUAGAUAGAUCGUUUAUUAAUAUUAUUUAUCAUAAUUUUAAAGGCAAUAGGGUAGGCAGAGGUCAAAUUUAUUUCAUAUUCCUUACUUCUAAGAUUUAAAUCCGGAUAAUUAGUUAAAUAGAACUGUUUGUAAACCAAUUGGCCAUGCCUGUGAAGCUAGAUAAAACCGUUAUUACAGUCAACAAAACUAUGUCACGUCUAUUUUAUUCGCUACCAUAAUUGAUUGAUUUCAUCUAUAUUUACAAAAUCUUAUUGGAUGAGUGUACAAAUGAGACAUGGUAUAUAUGUUUGUUUUAAGUUGAAUCACAUGCAGCAGCCAUAGAUAGGUAGCUCACCAUGAUCAUUUUACAAAUUAUUCAAAAAAUUUUGUUGGUUUUGGUCGUAUCACUUUGUAUCCAAAUAUUCAAGUAGUGUCUAAAUACAUAAUCCAGGGGAGCUGGAUAGCUCUCAAAGCUGGUGCAAAAACAGUACAUUUUAAUUGAGUUUCUUGAUUUUCAUUAAUUUUGGCUUACUUUGCUCUUUUCUUUAGCUUUUCAUGCUAGAAUUACUCUAAAUGCGACACCAAUACAUUGUUUUUUCUCCCUAAGUAGACUUCUUAAUGAUUUCGUUACUCAAAUUGUCAAAUAAUUUAAGUAUAAGUAGGCGCUGGCCAAAUGACUUACUUUACUUGAAGCACUGUUCAAGCACGCAACUGUGGAGGCCUCGCUGCCCUCAUGGCUGAUGCAAUCACGCCGAUUUUAGCAAGCUCAAUUCCACGUACAGUUAAUAAAGUGCAGAAAAAAACAAUAGAAACAAAUCUUCAUGGAUUUUGUAACAAGUGUAGUUUUUAUCUACGCAGUCAAGAUUUUACUUAUUUCUUCAUAAUCUACUAAUUUAUUUACUAA